UAGGGAAUCUUCGGCAAUGGGGGCAACCCUGACCGAGCAACGCCGCGUGAGUGAAGAAGGUUUUCGGAUCGUAAAGCUCUGUUGUAAGAGAAGAACGUGUGUGAGAGUGGAAAGUUCACACAGUGACGGUAACUUACCAGAAAGGGACGGCUAACUACGUACCAG
This 165-nucleotide ribosomal RNA is filed under the name uncultured bacterium. RNAcentral's name for it is "partial 16S rRNA". It matches the Rfam family "Bacterial small subunit ribosomal RNA", at positions 355 to 511 of the family's 1533-position model. The record is from RNAcentral.